UGUUCUGUGGCCGAACUGGCGAAGGCAUCACCGAUUACAGACGAAGAUGCGGGUUCGAGUCUCGCUAGAACUG
This 73-nucleotide transfer RNA is filed under the name Operophtera brumata (winter moth). It matches the Rfam family "tRNA". From Rfam's summary of the family: Transfer RNA (tRNA) molecules are approximately 80 nucleotides in length. Lineage: Eukaryota; Metazoa; Arthropoda; Insecta; Lepidoptera; Geometridae. The record is from Rfam by way of RNAcentral.